Molecule: transfer RNA, 87 nt
Filed under: Parcubacteria group bacterium
Lineage: Bacteria
Also listed under: 1 other name
Description: tRNA-Ser
Rfam family: tRNA
About the family: Transfer RNA (tRNA) molecules are approximately 80 nucleotides in length. Their secondary structure includes four short double-helical elements and three loops (D, anti-codon, and T loops).
Source: RNAcentral
GGAGGGUUCGCAUAACGGCUAUUGCACCGGUCUCGAAAACCGGAGCCCUAAAAAGGCUUGCAGGUUCGAAUCCUGCACCCUCCGCCA